Molecule: non-coding RNA, 137 nt
Organism: Erinaceus europaeus (western European hedgehog)
Lineage: Eukaryota; Metazoa; Chordata; Mammalia; Eulipotyphla; Erinaceidae
Source: Rfam
CUGUUGCCAAUAACGCACACCAUGCAUUUGUGUUUCUCUAUGGAGCCUACUGUGCAACAACUGUACUAGCAACACCCAUUGUAGUAUGUACAGCCUGUUGCUUGUAUAGGUUGUCCUAAGGGUCCUAAGACACCCCU